This is a long non-coding RNA of Cyprinus carpio carpio, 921 nucleotides long. NCBI's taxonomy places the organism in Eukaryota, Metazoa, Chordata, Actinopteri, Cypriniformes, Cyprinidae. The record is from Ensembl.
GCAAAACAUUGUGAGGCAGAAGCCACACAGCGCUUUCCCUGGAAAGAGAGAUGUGUUUCCCUCUGAUCUUUUGUGGGUGGAUGCUGUUUUCUUUAAUUUUUGCUUUUGGCGAUGUGGCAGUGAAUCACACUACAACUUUAUUUGUCAAUCAUGGACAGUCUGCCAAAAUCAGAUGCAACUACAACCCAACAAAUGACACAGAAAGCAUGACGGCAGUUCUGCAAACAUUAAAUCUUUCACUGUGUUCAUAUUACUUUUAUGACAAUACAUGGAAAACCCACCAUUGUAAAGAUCCUGUCAGAUUCACUGGGAUUCCAGAGACUAAUGACAUAACAUUUGAACUCUUAAAUCUCCAAGUUCAGGAUACCGGCACAUACACCUGUACUGUGAAGAGGAUUGUAAAACCACCUCAAGUGGAUCUCGGAGUUCAAAGAGUUCAAGUUAUUGUGCGUCCCGUCUUGUUGCUGUCCUGUGUGAAGAGGCCUGAUGGAUCUACCAUGAUUCUGUGCUCUGUGGAAUUUUACCCUGAUUCUCUUGAACAGUUGUGGAUCAGAGAUGGAGAUGUCCUCAACAGCUCAUACUCAAACAAAUCAUUUAAUGGAUCCUUUAGUCAGCAAUCAUACCUUCUAUUGCCACCACAAACCUUCAGUGAUACAAUCUACUCCUGCUGGGUAAACCACCCGUCUUUAAACAAACCACUCGUGGCCAAUUUAUCGAGCUCUGUCUGUUAUGAAAGUGAGGGAAGAACACGUCAGCAGUCUGUGUCUCCUGUAGGAGUGAUUGUCACACCUGAGCCUGUCCUGCAUGAUCCCCUGCAGUCUGAGAUACUGUACUCAACACUGGGUGACCAUCAUCCAGUCCCUUGCAGCCUUCCUGUUGUCCGCUCAUUUGCAUAAUAAACACUGAAUGAGCAAAUCUUAC